UCUUUCUUUUCCCCAUUACAGCUUUUCAAGAUAGUGGUGCCUAUUGUGACGCUUCUUGCCGUCUUUCAUCCCGUGUCUAGACACAGCAAUGGUAACCAGGACGAAUUCUUAACCAGUGAUACACAAUAUGGGGCAUUCCAACCCCGUUUCACAUCUCUGGGCAGCUACCGUCGCCUGUAUCAACCAGGCACAGAUGACCAUGGUAUACCCUGGGUACCACCCUCACAGUACGCCAGCCCUGCACGCAGGUCUCAGUCCUUUCCUAAGAUGCCAAGUAUCAGGGAGGAACAUGAACCAGCGAGCCUGUCGCUACCGGUAACCGCAUAAAUGAUAUGGAACCCUGGGAUUGGCUGGAUAGUUGUGAAAGCAACCAUUUCAAGAGACCUUUUUAAGGGGAGGAUGAGUACCGCAAAUAUGAUUGACGUCGAGUCAAUAUUGCGUUAAACAUGGAAUUAGUGCAACUUUAUUUAUCCAGGUGCUUUUGCCAAAGGCCGCUUUCAUUUUUAUACCAAUGUAAAACAUUUUAUAAAAAAAUGGCUUUUUUAGUUUUCAAAAAGCCUUUGUCAUGGUUUUUUGAAAGAACUGUACUGUUUUAAGGCUGUAAUGUGAUCUAUGGUGAAUUAAGCAUGAAAAGGAAAUCAGAACAAUUACUGCUAAAAAUGCCUUGUCUGUUUAUAUAUUUUGUUUUUGUUUGUUUGUUUUUUUCAAGAAAAAUUUACCGUACAAAGGUUUUGAGUGCCUCGAUGGAGCACCUUGAGCACCAAAUACUGGUGGAUACUUGGACUUAAAAAUACACAUUGUUUAAGGCAGUUACUCAAAAAGAUAAGCAGAACUAGUUUUGCUACAACCAGUUUGGUUGUAUGACUGCACACGUUUUCAUAUAUUCAGAUUUUACGAUUUUAAUCUUGGUGAACACGGCAGUGUACUCAGAUCUACAUGUAUUGGGGAUAAUGCUACAAAUAUCAAUCAAAAUUUUAAAUAGAAGAUGAAAAGACAGUUCACACACAAGUAAGAGAAUAAAAAGUACUGUAAAAUGUCGUGCAGUCUAAUGCCACGUUCGCAGUGGACUCAAGUUUGUAAAAAGUUACCGCAAAUGAUUGUUAACAUUCUAUCGUGGUUACACUUCCGUGCAUUCUCACUUAGAUUAAUUUCGGACUUCGCAAAGUCAUUUGUUAGGUAAACUAUGCCCUACCAUGCUCUCUCAGCAUCUCGUCAUUUGCUGUACAUAUCAUCUAUCAAGCGCAGUCUACAAGUUGGUCAUAUGAUCACAACGUAAAUUUUACAUAGUAGUGGCCGUCGGCACAUGACUUUUCAGUGAUGUAAAACCUACAUUGUAAUUCUCUGUAACCCAAUUUGCUCUGUAAAAUUCUGCUGUGAAGCGCAAGACUUACAAUCGACAAUUGUCACUUGACAUUUUUGUGAAGUGUACUGUCUGUCAGCACUGGACUUAAUUUGGUUAAGUUGACAACAGUCUUUGUAAGUUUUACCCAAAAAAGGUCCAAUGGCAACACGGCCAAUGGUUUUCAUACUUUUUUUUUAUAAUUUUUUUUUUUAUUUUGCUGACACCCGUUAUGCUCAUAAUCAUUACUUUGUGUUUCCCCAAGUGAAAAUUGUCAAAUGAUGAUUUGUGCUCAUGCAGUUGGAAUACUGAACUUGAUGUUUGAGAUCGUUUGUAGCUAGUAUUUUUGUAAGUGUAGGAUCUCUUUGCACACUUAGCAUCCUGGGCAAAUGCAGUGGAACGCCACUAUAACGGACAUCGCGGGAUCCACAGAAAUUGUUCGUAAUAGCGAUCGUUCGGUAUAGCGAUUUUAAAGCUGCCGGUGCUCCGGUACUCGCUUUCCUGCUCGCCCUGGUAGUUACUGAAAGACGACUUUGAACACGUGCCGACUAUUGAAUCAUGCAAUUACAUAGUUUUUUAGCUUACUACCUACACUGUACAGCAAUGGGUGGCUUUCCCCUUCCAUUCCUUGGGAAAAUAACAGCCACUUGUCGCUCUUCUGUUGACAUUUUUCAACAACAGUGUUCAGUACACGGGAGCCAAACACGAUGUUUGGUAUAGCCGAAUGUUUGGUAUAGCGGUGUUCGGUUUAGCGACAUUCCACUGUAGUUCAAUUUAUUUGAAAUUCAGCUGAACUACUUAGAACCUUUGCAACUUUUUAUGCGCUUGUUUUCUUUGACACUAAAAGAAAGUAAGACAAACCAAUGCAUUAUAUACACACGCACGCUGUUUUGAUUUAAAACCCAAGCACUUGGAAAAUAUGGGGGUCAGAUAUGUAUGUUUUUUGCCUGUACAGUAUUUUAAUGUACAAUAAUUAUCAUAAUGUAAAUUUCUUUUAUACAAAAUAGAGUGCAAAACUGAUGAGUACUUUUAAGUGAGCCAAAAAGACAAUCAAAAUCCAUCCCCCCCCCCCCCAUUUUGGGAAAGUGUGGCAGAUAAGCCAUGUGUAACAAGUCCAUCAAAAUCCAGGAGCACCAGUGGUGGAUUUCAAUGGAUUUGGUCCUGAAGCAUUAUGGUGAAGCAGAGUCAGUGAUGGAUUUUGAUGGACAUGGUUUUCUACUUAGUAAAACUAAGUAGGGAGUUAGGAUUUCUAAAAAAAAAUGUAAAAAAAAAAAAGGUAACAAGAUUGUGUUAGGUACCAUUUGUUUUGCCAUUUCUGGAAAUGAUUCUUGAUAAAAAUAUUUUACAAUCACAAAGAUUUUAUUUGAGACUUAGUAAAUAUUUUUUUUUAUAUAUUGUAACUUAUUUGAGAGUAAACUGGGCAAUGAUUGUAGCUCGCACAUCUUGGUUUUUUUUUACUUUUAUUGUUUUAUUUUACCAGGGUAGCCCCAUCAGUUAUCUAAGAACUGUUCUCCCUGUGGGCCCUGGAUGAACCUCUAUAGUCAAUUAUUUUGUUGAACAUUUGAAAAAAAAAUACAAAGACAGUAUAAAGGGUAUGACAGCACAGCUCUUAUAAUCACAUGGACAUUGCCCCUAAAGGUUACAAAGUGUUAAACAUUAACAGAACUCUUUACAAUUUCUCCAACUUUUCACAUGUACAUCUUUUUAGGUUUUUGGUCAGUUUUAAAAAUAACACUGAUAACUAAGAAGAUAUAUUAAGAGAAUUUUUGUUUUACCUUUCAGUGUGUGUGUAUAUAAAUUCACUGUUGGAAAGUACAGUUGCCUUAUCUUUUUGGUCACACCUCUACUGCUAAAAAAAUAUUUUAAAAAGACUCCAAGGGUUAAGCACUGCUUAGGAGAUAGAGACAUUAUAUAUAGCUCCUGUUACUUCUUAUGUAUAUCACUUUUUGGUUGUAUUUGGAUUAGAUGUAUUUGGAUUAGAUGUAUUUUUACUUUAUUGUAUAUAUAUAUUCGAACUAAGAACUCGGGCAGCUUGUUUUACAAAAGUGUCUAAAUACUGAUUUAAGAAAAUGUUUAUGAAGAAAUGUACAUGUAUAUAAAAGCUGAACAAUUAUAUUUUGCAACCAGAUUUUCCCCUAGCCCCAUACCCAGAUAGCAUGGUGAGUUCAUUUUAAGGCAAAGGUAAUUCAACAGUUGAGAUUAUAGAACUAAAAAAACUUCACUUUUUUUUUAUUUGUUGCACUGACAGUUUUAGAAAGGAAGAAAGGCAAAACGCAUCCUUUCAAUUUAAUUUAAAUGUCUUAAAGUAGAAACUUCUGAAGGCCUUAAUUGUAAUCACCUGCAUAUGCAAAACAAAAUAGAUUUAAAAAAAUCAUUUUUAGAUUUGGGUAACUGUUUUAUUGAUACUCAUUCACAAAUAGUUACUACAUUUGGUGUUUAUUACUUGUUAUAUUUACUCAAGAAUUACAUUUUUUUUCUCACUUUACUUGUGUAUAACCCUGAAUUACCUCCCCAAUUCACUGAAAACAAAAUUAUGGUAAUAUAAUCACAAGUACGUGUAUAAUUUAAUGUAUAUAGCGAAAUAUGUUUUGUACAGUUUUUACAUGUCCAAUUGAAUUAAGUGCACACAGGACAUGUACAUUUACUCAUUUGUAUCGACGUCCGUAGGCCUACGUUAUCACAAAAAGUGGAAAUGUGGAAUACGCUUUUGGGGUACCUCGGUGCUUGAGUCAAAUGUACUGCGCUACGAGGAAAUGUUACUCUCAAAAGAAGACUGGUUAAAUAUUAAACAAAUAAUCUAAAUUGCCCAAAUGCACUUCAUAAAUUGUUUGAAACUUCUUCAGAAACCAUGUCGCAAGAAUAAAACAAAUCUUAGAAAUACUAAGUUACAAUUGACCUAAAAUGUAUUUAUUGUAUAUUUGUAGAAAAUAUGAUUUUAUAAGCUUGUACUGUCAUUUGACAUUAUUGAGGGCGUACUUUCUCAGUAUUGCAUUUUAACAAAAUAAACGAAUGGGCAGUAUGCUGCUAUAUUUAGUUUUGUUGAGGUA
Molecule: long non-coding RNA, 4386 nt
Filed under: Patiria miniata (bat star)
Lineage: Eukaryota; Metazoa; Echinodermata; Asteroidea; Valvatida; Asterinidae
Description: uncharacterized LOC119721948
Source: RNAcentral